RNAcentral lists this ribosomal RNA (429 nucleotides) under Chloroflexota bacterium. RNAcentral describes it as "Chloroflexi bacterium partial 16S ribosomal RNA". It matches the Rfam family "Bacterial small subunit ribosomal RNA", at positions 355 to 776 of the family's 1533-position model. Lineage: Bacteria; Bacillati; Chloroflexota. The record is from RNAcentral.
UGGGGAAUAUUGCACAAUGGGCGCAAGCCCGAUGCAGCCAUGCCGCGUGUGUGAAGAAGGCCUUCGGGUUGUAAAGCACUUUCAGCGGGGAGGAAGGCGGUGAGGUUAAUAACCUCAUCGAUUGACGUUACCCGCAGAAGAAGCACCGGCUAACUCCGUGCCAGCAGCCGCGGUAAUACGGAGGGUGCAAGCGUUAAUCGGAAUUACUGGGCGUAAAGCGCACGCAGGCGGUCUGUCAAGUCAGAUGUGAAAUCCCCGGGCUUAACCCGGGAAUUGCAUCUGAUACUGGUCAGCUAGAGUCUUGUAGAGGGGGGUAGAAUUCCAUGUGUAGCGGUGAAAUGCGUAGAGAUGUGGAGGAAUACCGGUGGCGAAGGCGGCCCCCUGGACAAAGACAGACGCUCAGGUGCGAAAGCGUGGGGAGCAAACAGG